AUGGGACUUGUAACCGUCACUUCUGUCUUGAGUAGUUAAAAGAUAGAACAGUCUAGCCAAGUGCCAUGUCUCUUAUUCUUGAUCAGCUAUAGCUCUAGAGUUUUUGCAGAUUUUCAAAUAAAACUUAGAGAUUCCUUGUAUGACUCUCUCAGAUCUCUCUUUUGUGGUAUUUCUGGAUCCCUACCAAGGCAGUGAUGGUAUAUGCCUUCUCUCAAGAUAUGUAGUAUUUGUGGUAUAAAGCAUAGUGACAUUGUCUUCUCUCUCACCCUACUCUAAUAAGGCUUUAAUAUCUGGAGCUCAUAGGUGGGAGAUAAAAUAUACAUACUUACAAGACAUUUAUUGCAUAGUCAAACCAUGGAUCCAAAGAAACAAAUCAAUAAGCCAAAUCAAGAUGUGCAUGUGUGGCGAAUGAAUGGUGUAUGGUGAUGAUGACAAUGGUGAAAGUCUAAUUCUACUUUUGCUCUUUUGAGGGGAUACAUACCUUUCUUGCUUUUUGAAACUUUAUGAAGAGAAUGAGAUGCUCUUCUUUUUUUUCUUUUCUCUCAGGUGGGUAUCUUGUACCUCUAAUUCUACUGUCGGACACUUGUCCAUUUUUACCUCUCGUCUCACUUUUUCUAUUCUUUUGAGGUUCCGAGCACUUGCCCCUUUUUAUUUCCUCGUAUCUCUCUUUUUUUUAGAGCACUCAUCUCUUGAGAUAAUAUAGCAAGUGGUAGUAACAAGAUAACUUGAGCAUUUAUUUCACAGGGAAAAAUAGAACUAUUUUUGGCUAUUCUCUCCUGGAUUAGGAGUACAAUAUUUUUGGGUGGUUCUGGAGAUGGAAUGGGUGGAUAUAUGUGGAUGGUACUUCCGGAGUAGAAGCAACAUAUAUGAGUGAACGUGCAAGUGAAAUUUUGAUUUAACCACAUGACAAGCUCCUAAGGGUCUACACAGCUUGACCACAUUCAAUGCUCAUAAGCAGUAAAUAAUAAAUGUGUGGCUCAAAGUCUAGCAAGCAUGUAUAUAUGGCUGUGGUAGGAAUUUAAACUCUCAUCAUACAGGAACUCAUCAUGCAACAUUUUAAAGAUUUUCAAAGAUAAAAUUCUCCAGAAUUCUAGCAUCUCUAGGAACAGAUAAACAGCAGCCCAACCUUCCCAUAUCAUAUCCGUUAACAACUUAGACUUCAG
This 1163-nucleotide long non-coding RNA is filed under the name Sorghum bicolor (sorghum). RNAcentral describes it as "long non-coding RNA (SBIC_LNC015769)". Lineage: Eukaryota; Viridiplantae; Streptophyta; Magnoliopsida; Poales; Poaceae. The record is from RNAcentral.